AUUUGAAGUGAGAUUUUUUUGCUAGUUUGUAAGUGAAAUAUUUACCUCUUGAUAUGUAGGGUAGACCUGGCAUUGAUGGAAAGAGAGGUCUGGCUGGAAAAGAUGUGAGCAUUUUUUUCUCUUUGUCAAAUAAUAUUGUGUUUUUUUUAUGUUCCUGCUCUGUUCCAGCAUUUUAAUAAGAUCACUUAAAAAAUACCCACAAAUACCCCAAAAUGAAGUCUUCCUAAUUAUUCUCUUGAGACAGGGAGAGCAAGGACAAAGAGGAGAUGAUGGCAAAAAGGUAUGAUUUGGAGCAAGUCUGGCUAUUCCCCAAACACACCAACACAAUAAACCAUAUUUGUGAUUUUGCGUCUCUAACCCUAGGGUGAUACAGGUGAAUCGGGAACUGAGGUAAGAUAUUUUAUUUUAAUAAGGCAGUAUUAAUUAGCAUCAAAUUAUUAACAUGAUAAUUAAGCCCAAUUGUUAAUUUCUCCUAUCUCCCCCCAGGGUAAAAAAGGGGAAUUGGGUGCUCCGGGCCCACCUGGUACCCAUGUUCUGGUUACUCAACAAGAGGGUGCCACCCUUGAAGAGAUGAGACAGGCAUUCCCUUUGCCAAUGGGACCUCCUGGGGCUAAAGGUCCACCAGGGAUGAAGGGUGACGCUGGUCUUCCAGGGAAAGCAGCUGACAUGAAGAACAUUGAAGUAAUGUUUGAAGACUAUGGCAUAAGGCUGCCCUUGCUGAAGGCACUGAUUGACAGGCUGCUGCAGGACGGCAUGGAGGAGCUUCUGCAGGAGCUAACCACCUCUAGGAGAGUCAAUGAGAAGGAGAAACACGGCUCCAACAUUAUCACUGACUACACAAGAACUGUAAAGUAUGAGAUCUCCAAGGAGCCUCUGACAGAGAUGGACACCAUAGAGGAGGCAGUUGACUCUGACCUAGACAGACAGCUACCAGAACCUAACUCUGAUGCUUUGAAUGAAACGGCGGAGGGCCCCACAUUCUGGAGCCUUACCCCUCUUAAUGGUCUUAAUGGGGUCCAAGACGUGGGGAGGAUAGAGAGCACCUCUAAGGGGAUAGAGGGGACACUGACAGUGGACGAGGACUUCAGUGAAGCUCCCUCGCCCAAGUUGCCUUUAUCAAACUCAACAUUUAACAACACAACGUCUGAAGAGAGGGUCUCUGAGGUACCAGGGGCAAUAGUAGAAAGUGUUCUCCUCAGUGGGGAAUACUCCUUGAAGAAAAAGAAGAGUCGAGAACGGAAGGGCAAGGGACAGAAAGGACGACAUAAGAGGCAACGCCUGACGAGUACAGAGGAGGAAGCGGAGGAGGAGGAAUUAUACGAUGGGGAUGAGUACAGUUAUGAAUAUGUGGAUUCCACAGAUGAUCCCUUACUGUCAAUGGAAAAGCAAGGGGAGUUUGAAAUCACAACAGAAAGCACACUACAUGGAAUGAGCAAAGAGAGUGGCCUGACAACUUUAGGUCCAUUUCCAUCCCAGUCACCGGGAGACAGUGAAAAGCAGGGAGAAUUCAUCACACCUAUCCUUCCCAGCACAACGGAAGAAACAGAGAAGGCGGGACUAUCUCAUGUCCGGGUCAGAGUAAGGAAGAGCGCCCCCUGGCCAGAUUACAUGGUAAGUACACUGAAAAAAAAUAUUGAUUACCAUUCAAAUACAAUGUAAGAGUACAUCAUUUUUAGAAAACAAUGGCAUUUGCCAGAAAUAUUUGAGUCUUUGCUGUUUCAGGCAUACAUGCCAGGAACUGCCGGAGGACGAAAUCGAUACCAUGACAGACAAAAAGUAAACAGAUUUAUUUACUAGGGAUAUUUUUCUAUUACACUGAUAUCAACUACUCAUAGGUUGUUAUCAAAUCACCAGUUAGCGUGGAGGGAAUAGCACAGGGAAGGGGUUCAGAGAAGUUAUGACAUGGUCAAAUCAACAACGUGUGAACAUUCCCUCUUU
Long non-coding RNA from Oncorhynchus kisutch (coho salmon), 1938 nucleotides. NCBI's taxonomy places the organism in Eukaryota, Metazoa, Chordata, Actinopteri, Salmoniformes, Salmonidae. The record is from Ensembl.